This 9010-nucleotide long non-coding RNA is filed under the name Homo sapiens (human). RNAcentral's name for it is "PREDICTED lncRNA (TCONS_00237990)". Lineage: Eukaryota; Metazoa; Chordata; Mammalia; Primates; Hominidae. The record is from RNAcentral.
CACUUGCACUGCGGGUGCUCUCUGGCCCCCACCCCAUCAUCGCGCAACACACCCCCUUCAACAUGCGCGGCCACCCUUUCAUUGCCCUGCGCCCCGAGCGGUCCCACCGCCCGGCAAAACACUGAGCAAGCCGCUGCUCUCACCUUGCUUGACACACUUGAGCCGGAGGGGGUCCUUGCAGUGUUUGAUCACGGCCAGCACGUCCCUGAUGGUGAGCCCCGCCACGGGGGUCUCGUUCACCUCCAGCAGCAGCUCCUCCGACACCAAUUUGCUGCCGCUCUCAUAGGCCACCUUGCCGGGCUUCACCUCCCCCAGUGUUCCCUUCUUUUCGCCAGGUUUGCAUCCAAGAGAGGGGAGGACAGGGGCAAAAGGAUGCAGGGAGGCUGCUGAUUUCCACUGAAGAGCUAAUUUCCUGUGAGACAUUAACAGUGAUUUAAGAAAAAGAUUCCUGUAACUGUAAUGUCUUACAAUAACAGAAUGCAGGAGAGCACAUAUCAAUGAAGAAAAGACAAAAUGUACUUAUCCAUGAAGCUGAGGUUAAGAAACCAGUGUCUUCAAGAGCCAGGGACAGCACUGGGUCUGUGCAGAGUUGAGAGAUGGUGAUGACAUGUGGUUUCCAGCAUUCCUCACCCAGUCCAGGGACACUGUGGGUGUGCCCAGCUUAAGUCCAGUAACUGGAAAUACAAGCCCAAGUUCUGGAGAGUUUGAGCUGCAGAGAUAUAUAUGGGAACACUUUGAAUCUUGACUCAUUGGCCAUAACCAGCAGAGUGGAAAAUACAAGAAGAGAAAAAAACAUUGAACUGCGAUUUUAUAACAUCCUUUACUAGGCAGAGAGAAGAGGAAACACCAGGAAAGAAAACUGUAUUACGAUGUGAAAACUUAAUGUUGAGAAAUUCAGGCAUCUUGGGGUUAGUGAGGAGAAGUUUUAGGGGCUUAGAUUCUUCUAAACACAUGUACAGAAAUGCAUAUUUCAUCUGAUAUCAAAUGGCAUUUAUAGUGCUAAUCUUUACCUCAAGACUUCACAUCUUUUGGUGAUUGCAUCUUUUAGGUUUAUAGCAGCUAAGUUUGCAUGAAAACACCAGGGCUGUUUCAUUUCAGUCAAGAAUUAAUGUUCAUUGAUUGUGCUUCUGCAUUUCAUGUAACUAUUGUAGAAUUUGUUUUAGUUUUAUGAGGGAAUAAUUGUUCCAACUUCUAUAUAACUCAGGAAUUUACUCUCAAACAACACUGUCAAUUAGUUACUUAUCUCUCUGGAAAUGAUCUGGGAACAUGGAGAGGAAAGGGAGGAAGGGGCAAAAUCUGACCACUUAAAUCUAAGCAUAUUAGAUCAUUUUAUGCUAGAAAGUCCUGAAUGAUGUGACUUUCGUUCUUGUAAAACACCUCUUUCCAUAGAUUCAUGGCCCAAACAGUAUAUAAAGAGUGGGGAAGGAACUGCAUUUGCAAAUAGUUCAAAUCAUUGCUCCAUCUUAACUACGCAGUUCACAAAGUGUGAAGAAAUGUGAUCAUCUCAAAAAAGAUAAUGGGGAAAAAAUAUGUUUUGUUCUGUGACUUUAAAGUCUUGCAAUAUUUUACAUAAAUGAUAAUGGGUGCUUUAAUAAGAACUCUUGAUACUUUUGUUAUUGUAUUCAAUAUAUGCAUAUAAUACAACAGGAUGAUAUUGUUUUGGAUUUGGAAAUGUAUUCUUUCUUAUGCAAUCUUAUGCAGUCAUACUGCUUGAAUAUCAUUACCUGAAUUUAUCUUUCUUUUUUUUGUUGUUGUUUUACACUCUACUUAUUUGGUGCCUGUCAGUCUUUUGUCGUCAGUUUAUAUUCUACUAAACUCAAAAAGACAAUCUCAUACCUUUUGUAAUUGUAGGCAUUCUUUACUAGAUUUUUAAAUACACUUCAAAAAUUCAAGUACUUUGAUUUCAUGCCAUCAAGUAGCUGAAUCUAUCCCCCCGUCUCUUUUUAAAUUUAAGUGAGUAGUUCAAUUUCUGUCACUUUCUACUUUGUGAAUUCUAAAUCUUUUAAAACCAUCUUGCCAUUUUUCGUGCACUUACCCUUACAGAAAACUCUGUGAAACACUACUUAUCUCUACUUUUAUGUUUUUAACUCCUUUUUUAUAUUACUAUUCCCUCUGCUUUCUAAAUGCACAUAUUAAUUUGUUCUUUUUAUUCUCUGUAGCUCUUCUCAGUGUAUGAAUUCAGUUUCCCAUCAGUCUCCAUACAAUUAAAAAAAAGUUGAGUAUUCUGUUAUUUUAAUAAGAUAUCUAGUGCCCAUAUUCUAAUUCUGCCCCUUAUUUUUAAUAUAAUUUUAUUGUUGAUUUAAAAUGACAACAGUUUCAAUUCCCAGAAAGUGAAAGGAAACAAAGGAAUAAUAUUAUAGGCUUAAUUUUUAUCAGUGAACUUGUAGGUGAAGAAAAGAUUUGGGGAAGGAAAUGAACAUAUUAUAUUGCAAAAUAGUAAGGAACAAUCAGAUGUGUUUUCUAGUCUCUGGAAAAGCAUGUUUCAAGAAAUUCAAUGAAAAGUUCAUCAUGCUUGCUUAGAUUGUUGAGAAGCAAAAACACUGAUGAACAUUUGGAAGCAAUGAGAAUGUAAUUCUAAUCAUACUCUUUUAAUAAUGUUGCAAAACUCUCCAAACACUACUCUGUGUGGAUGUCUUUCAGAAUAUGAUGAAUACUAGUAGUCUUAUUCUGCCCUUUUCUCUCUAUCACAAUAUAUACAUUCUAUAUUGCAUACACAUAUUUUCCAAAUAUUACAUAUAAUUUCAUGUAAUUUAUAGACCUAUUAAGGCCCAACCAUUUUCUUGGAUAGGGGAUUCUUUAGAAGUCCAGCUUAAAUAAAGCCCGUAUAGAAAGUUUUUUUAAAAUUUAUACAUAAUCACCUAAAGUAACCUUAUCUACUGAACUCUUAGUACAUGCUACUGGAACCUUUUAUCAUGUUUCUUCCUGGCUUGCAUUACAACACUGUUGACAUAUCUCAGCCUUACUUCUAGGCUUCUUUGAGAGCAUGACUCAUGUUUGUAUUCCUCACUGAGGUUGAAUGAAUAAGAGAAACUACAGUAGUAGGAAAAAACAGUACAUGUACAUAUCAAUGAAUAUGAAAGGGUCAAAUGGAUCUAUUAUAGUAAGCACAAAAUCAACUGACACCAGCAAAGUAAACCCAAAAUUUUUAAUGGUAUUUUAAUAGAUCAAGAGGAGCAAGCAGAUUUUUGAGACAGUUGUCUCCUACUUUCUCUAUCACAGGGAGUAAUUUUAAAAGAAAAAUGGAGGGUAAGUUUCUUUAAGAGAAAAUUGUAGUUUAAAACAGGUCAUGGGAUAAUUAGAAAUAAUUUAAUUUCUUUAGAGGAUUUUAAUCUUUCAACUGCUUGCAAUUAGAUCCUAAGGCAAUAAAAGAAUAAGGAGAUUUGGAAAACCAUUGUCUGUAAUCUCUGAAGAAAAGUGGACAUUAGGGGAGUCAGUUGAAAAGCAAAGCUAUCACCAUUUUCUAAAGAGGAAAAAGGUGAACCUCACAAACUAUAGACCAAAAAAAUAGGACAUCGAGAGAAAGAAUAUGAAGCUAGCAUAGGUUCACAAAGAAUGAGUCAAAUCAAACAACAUGCAUUUUUUAUUUAUAAAGCAUGACUUGUUCAUUGUCAAUUCAUGUUAGCUUAAUCAUUAGGCAUUAAUGCCAUCACUGCAAUGCAUAUGUCAGCAAUAAAUAAUCAAAGACCAGGCUUCCAUCAUUCUGUUUAAUAUCUUCAAGUAAUGCUUAAGUUUGCAAAUGCUCUUUUAACACAUUCUCCAUAUGCAGCCUGCCCAGCACUGCACACAAUAGACCUGUUACUUCCCCCUCACGAGCACUCCUAAUAUUUCAUGUGCUCAUCCAAUUGACUUCUCCCACUGGUGCCUCAUAUUGAAUUUGUAGAAUCACACCUGCUCCUUUUUCAAAACUCUUCUGAGUUUUUUCUUAAAUAAUUCACUGACCCCAAAGUUGUCAGAUAUUUGAAGACUACUCGCACAAUUUUAAUAUUAUAAAUGUAUAAUGUAAAUGUAAUUAAGAUUUGUAUAAUGUACGAUGUACUUUGGUAAAUAAAAGUAUGCUGUGAAUAAAUACGUAUGAUACAAUUCAAAAUUUUACAUAAAUAUGUGAUAAAAUUUAGCUCAUAUUCUUUUUUUUUUUCUUUGAGACGGAGUCUCACUCUGUUGCACCCAGGCUAGAGUGCAGCAGCAUGAUCUCAGCUCACUGCAACCUCUACCUCCUGGGUUCAAACAAUUCUCCUGCCUCAGCCUCCUGAGUAGCUGGGAUUACAGGUGCCCGCCACCAUGCCCAGCUAAUUUUUUUCUAUUUUUGUUGUUGUUGUUGUUUUUAGUAGAGACGGGGUUUCACCAUGUUGGUCAGGCUGGUCUUGAACUCCUGACCUCAGAUAAUCCACCUGCCUCGGCCUCCCAAAGUUCUGGGAUUACAGACGUGAACCACGGUGCCCGGCCUAGUUCAUGUUCUUUAAGGACAAUUAUGAAUAUUUUUAUGCACUGUUAAUUUUCAUUAAGAUAUUGAUCAAUUAAUAGCUAUAUAUGUUCUAUAAAUUAAUCCUAUCUAGUUUCAAUCUUAAAUUGUUUGCAUAUACCAAUCUAGUUUAUUGUUUGCAUAUAUUUUAUAGUGUAGAGAUUAGGCAUUUUAAUAAAAUUUUAAAAUUUCCAGGACAUACUGUUAAUGACUAUGCUUCCUACUAUAGGCCAUAAUUAAUUUUUUUCUAUUGUCAACAAUAUUUUGGUAGGGAUGAUCAGGAAAUAAGGAAAUGUUUCCUUCAUUUGUUAACAAUAGGUGUUUGGGGAUUUUAAAAUGAAAAUUGAAGAAGUAAAAGACACCAUAUAUUUAGUUUGUUUGAUUUCGUGGCUUCAAGAGUUCAAUAAUUUAUUGAAAUAUUUUACAGACCAAAGAACAACAGAUAUAUUACGUUUAUAAGCCCCCACAUAUUUUAAAGGAUAAUGGUUUAUAUAUGAAAAUUCCCUGAACCUACACUUCAUCAGGAAAAGCUAAAUAAAAGAAGUUUACAUUUCCUAGGACUAAUGGAGAUUUAUUUCCCAGUCCUCUUCUCUGGAGACAAAUGUAGGUCUCUCUUGAAAAGCAGAAAGUUUUGCAUAUGAGGUAUGAUUUAGUGGGCUAGAAACAUCUUUUCCACCCUCCCCAAAAUGUUUCACUAUGUUUUAUCAUACUAUCUGAUAAUUUUGCACUAAAGUUUUCUUUCUGUGUUAAGAAAAUGCAAAUAUCUCUGAAUGGGUCUCUUUGCUUUAGUCAUACUCAUAUGGCUACUACUGAACAAAAUAUGUUCAUUACAGGAUGAAGGGAAUGUUGCCAGCCAGCAAAUCCCUAGAGUUUGCACUACACCAAACGUUGCUUAGCAAUUUCCACGAUUUUCUCAGUCUAAUUUGCAAGAAUCAAGGAGAUGUUUGUGUAUGCUACAUGAAGUUGUAAAAUUGGUAUUUAUUGUAUGUUUCUAUAUCGAAAGCUUUACAAACAAAGGAAAUGGAAAGUUAACAGGUGGAUAUGAUAGUGUGGCACUACUUUAGCUGGAUGGUAAGGGAGAGCUUCUCUUAGGAAGUGUUUUAGGCCAGGACUUGAAUAAUGAACAGUAUCUAGUUGUACAAAAAUCUGGAGGAAAGACUUUUCAGGCCCAGGAGAAAUGAAAAUUCUUUUCAUGCAUACAAGAAUGAAAGUGAAAAUUACCUACUCUAUGUCCUGAAGUGGGAAGUUGGCUUGCCAGAGAGUAGGUAAUUUUCACUUUGAUUCUUUCAUGCCUUCAGUUAUACUACUUCUUAGGUUAGUUCAUAAGGGUUUCCACAAUUUGGUUCCCACUUAAAAUUUAAAACUUCCCUAACCCAUUCCCACCAUAUAUUGUGCUAAUCCAUGCAUAUGUGACUUUGCGUAUGCUGUUUUCAUUGUUUAAUAUUCUUCUCAUGCAUUCGUUCUUUCCUGAUAACGAACUCAUCUUUGAAACUCCCCUUCAAGCAUCCUCUACUUUAGGAGGCCGCUUCUCACUGUCUCCUGCCUACCACCCAUUGAAUUGUUCAAUUUUUAAGCUGCCAUUGUCUUGUGCAGUUGACACAUUUCUUUGCAAUUACUGAUUUACAUGUCUGCUUUUAUCACUGGUGAGGUUCUUUAGGACAGAGACAUUAUUAAUUCAUCUCUGGGCACAUAUGUUCCAACAUAUUAGAAGUACUACAGAGUGCUAUUACUAUGUAGUAUGUAGUAUUAGUAGUAGUUACUCACAAAUCAUUUUUAAAUAAGUGAUUAUAAUAUCUUUUUGUUAUUAUGAUUUAACACAAGAUGGAAUUUAUUUUCAGAAGUUUCCAUGAUAUAUUUGUUCUAUUUAAAAUCCAAUAGCCAUUAGAAUAUUACCAUUAUUUAAUGUAAAACAAUAAAAUAUUAAAUAUGAUCGUUCAUAUUUAAUGCAAACCGAACUCAUGGAAAUAUUGUGUAAAGAUCAAGUAAUUUUUGACAUACAAUUUUAAACUCAACUUUUCAUAUAGCAUACCUUAUGAUAUAUUUUCAGCCUACUUUUAAAUAUGUUGGCAUUGAAAGCCAGUUACUAAUUCGCUGAAUUCAUGAUUUCUUUUUAAGUUAUAGAAGUGGAAUUAUGUUUGAGAUAUUCAUUGCAUUACAUUUACCAGAACUUGAGUUCUUAACAUGGAACCUGAGAGUUUCUCCAAUUCUUAAGUCCCUGGGAGAAAUAGAUUAGCUGGAUGAGGAACUGAGAGGAAAAAUGGUCAGAGAUGUAGCAAGAGUUGGGAAGAAGGAACAAUGAUUUGCUUUCAAGGAGAUUUUUUCAUUGGUCUGUUUUCAGUGACAAACCCACUGCGAUAAUACAUGUAAAGUGAAAACAUUCAGGAAGUUCCCUUAGAAACCUCUUUUCUGGCAGUUCCUAAUUCUACAACAUUGUAUAAGUGAAAUACCAUAGUUACUGUCAUAGUAAAUUGAGCCAAGAGAAACAAGGGAGCAGGAGAAGAAAAGAAUUAAAGAGAGUUUUGUCUUUCAGUCUUCACUCUGUUUCUUCUUGCUUUUACCAGUCAUUCAGGUUUAUAUAAUUUCUUUAGAGAGGCUUCUACUAUGCAGGUCUUCCUUAAAGUCAUUGGUAUUACCUGGCAUGAUAUGUGAGCCUUUAAUAUCAGUCCCUUUAUCUCUUUAUUUUUAAAGUUUAUAUCAGUACAGAGUCCUGGAUUCUUAAUUAAUUUAAUAGGUUAGACUUUAUGCUAAUAUUCUUCAUUUUGAUGCUCAAAUUUUCCAAAAUUUGGCCAGCAGGGUUCCUUAAAGCUGGGUACCUUGCCCUUUCAACAUGUCCCUCUGAUUCUUUAUUUUUAUUUACUUAUUUAUUUAUUUAUUUAUUUAUUUAUUUAUUUAUUUAUUUAGAGACUGAGUCUUGCUCUGUCUCCCAGCCUGGAGUGCAAUGGCACAAUCUUGGCUCACUGCAACCUCUAUCUCCCAGGUUCAAGCAAUUCUCCUCCCUCAGCCUCCCGAGCAACUGGGACUACAGGCAUGUGCAACCAUGCCUGGCUAAUUUUUUUUGUAUUUUUAGUAGAGACAGGCUUUCACCAUGUUGGUCAGGCUGGCCUCGAUCUCCUGACCUCAAAUGAUCCAUCGCCUCGGCCUCCCAAAGUGCUGGGAUUACAGGCGUGAGCUGCCACACCCAGCCGUCCCUCUCAUUCUUUAAGUACUUCCAUGUUUUCUAAGGUACAAGAUGUUCCAUAUUAUUUUGUUAUUUGUCUUCCCCAGCUCUGAAAUCUGCCUUUCCUUCAAGGAGCCUUGGUUCUUUCUAGUGACAAAUUAUAUUUAGAAAGAAGAUCUGGGUAUUUGACUUGUAUAUUGCUAUUAAUUGGCCAUUGUUUCUAGUCUCUUUCAGUAGACAGAGCUAAGAAAUGUAAAAGGAAAUAUUUGAAUGUAUGUAUAUGUGAUAUAUUAAGUACAUUUAAACAUAUUAAAUUCAUGAGUUCAUACUAAUACUUUCAAUAAGCCACAAUUCCCUUUUCAUGUUUUCGAAGGAAAAAUAUCCAUUGUCUAUAUACAGUGGACAUAGAUAGUAAUAAUACUGAUCUUGAAAAGAGCAGUCUUAAAUAGAUCCCAUUAAUAGUUAAAGAUAACAUAUCUUAGAAUUCUAGAUAUUAGAGAGAUUAUCUAGAGCUGUAAUCUAGAUAUUUUAUAGAUCUUUGCUGUGCUGUUUUGAAUUUGUGUUGGAGUAGAACAAUCAGAUGACAAAAGCUCAUCCCACAUGGAAAAAUCAAAGCAUUCAUUACAGAGAGAAUUUUGAAAUAAAUGCAUAUAUAAAAAAUAUAUAUGCAUAUAUAAUGCAUAUGUAUAUGCAUAUAAAAUAUAUAUAUAUAAAAUGAGGGUUAUAAACAAUGAAGGAAAUAGUGAUACUAUCUAUGUGGGAACAAUACUAGUAUCCUCCCUUUGGAUGAAUACAGUAGCUACAGAUGCAAUUCUGGGGACUCUGUUUAGCAAUAGCUUAACUAUUGCUUGGCUACAAGCAUGGAUAACUUGUUCAAAGAUAAUGAGGAGUUGUAAAUAUUUAAAUAAACAGGAUUUGCAACAUAAAAAGCUUUGUGACUAUGUGUCUGAAUUCUUAGAGUUUUCUCCCAGCAAGACCUUGGAUGUGGCAGACUUUUCUGUAAUUGUCCAUCUCGCCCCUAUUUCAUGAAAAGCCAGAGCUUCUCUACUUAGUUUGCUAACCCCAAAUAUAUAAAUUCAAUAGAAGUACUAGCCUGUUUUUACUGGUUUAUUUGCUUUAUCUAAAAAAAACAAGGCAUAGUUUAAAGUCUGUUUUUGAUAGCAUAACAAAACAAAGGUUCUCAUUUUAAUAAUGCAUCACAUAUACACUUGGUAACUAUUGCAUAGUAAUAAUUUAAUAACUUGAGAAAUAUAUUUAUGCAUGUAUGUGUAUAUGUUCAUAUAUAUGUUAUUUUUAAUUCAGAAGUAAAACAAAUAUUGGAAGAGGCCACAGUUAUUAUAAAAAUAAUUUGACCAGUAUUGGACAAUGCAAAUAGCAAUCAUUUAGAAGUUUCU